CGCUGGCGGCAUGCCUUACACAUGCAAGUCGAACGGUAACGCGGGGCAACCUGGCGACGAGUGGCGAACGGGUGAGUAAUAUAUCGGAACGUGCCCAGUUGUGGGGGAUAACUGCUCGAAAGGGCAGCUAAUACCGCAUACGACCUGAGGGUGAAAGCGGGGGAUCGCAAGACCUCGCGCAAUUGGGGCGGCCGAUAUCAGAUUAGGUAGUUGGUGGGGUAAAGGCCUACCAAGCCUACGAUCUGUAGCUGGUCUGAGAGGACGACCAGCCACACUGGGACUGAGACACGGCCCAGACUCCUACGGGAGGCAGCAGUGGGGAAUUUUGGACAAUGGGGGCAACCCUGAUCCAGCCAUGCCGCGUGCGGGAAGAAGGCCUUCGGGUUGUAAACCGCUUUUGUCAGGGAAGAAAAGACUCCUACUAAUACUGGGGGUUCAUGACGGUACCUGAAGAAUAAGCACCGGCU
RNAcentral lists this ribosomal RNA (467 nucleotides) under uncultured bacterium. RNAcentral's name for it is "bacterial SSU rRNA". It matches the Rfam family "Bacterial small subunit ribosomal RNA", at positions 34 to 498 of the family's 1533-position model. The record is from RNAcentral.